RNAcentral lists this small nuclear RNA (20 nucleotides) under Arabidopsis thaliana (thale cress). RNAcentral's name for it is "snRNA_09560". The record is from RNAcentral. Lineage: Eukaryota; Viridiplantae; Streptophyta; Magnoliopsida; Brassicales; Brassicaceae.
AACGAAAUGACUAAACAGGA